GGGUCUAUGGGACAGGCGCAGCAGGGGGCUGACAACACCUAGGAUGGAGCAGGGCUUGGAAAUUCGGGGAGCAGGGAGCAAUGGCAGCUCCCACUCCUUUGCCACCAAACUGCCGAACCCAGGGGGCCAGGGCCAUGACUCUGCCGGGGCCGGAUGCCAGCCCCGCCUGGAAUGGACUAGCUGAAGCAGAGAUGCUCCCCCUAUUAUUAGUGCUGUCGUAUACACUGCCUGAUGACCAUCCUCUCUGAGAAUUGCCCGCAUUUGCGUGAUGCCAAAGGCGCAAAACUAUAUACAUAGCAGUGGGAAAUACUGAUUCAAGACCAUCCAAAAUUCUUGUUCUUGUCCCUUUUCCACUCCCCACACUUGUUCUCUUUGAUAAAGGACCCUUUACUUCUGGCAUCUGGAGAGAAGACACGGAACCGCAGUGGAAAGAGGAAAGGGAUUGAAGAUGAGCUACUGCAUAAUGAAUUGAGCAUAGGCGAGAUGAGCACCUGAGAACAAAGGAAAGGUGGGGAAGAGGGAAGGAGGAAGACGGGGAGAGAGGACAGAACAGCUGUACAGUAUCCAAAAGCUUGGCUGGGGAAUGAGGGAACAGAUUCGCGUGCAGCAGAAGAGCCUGCUUGAGCUGUUGCUUGACUUUGCUGCCCUCAGAUUCUGCACCAUCCCCUGUGCUUACAGAUUGUUUCAUGCUCCUGCAUCUGAAAGUAAGGAGGCCCCUGGACAUUUCAUGACUAGGAUGGACUAUGACUCAUCCCACAAACCAGAAUGAGUAGUUGUUCUACCCUUUUCACUCUACCUGCAUACAAACCCACGCACUUAGCAGUAAGAAUAGAUACAGGUUUCCCUCACCAACCACAGUUUUGAGUAUCCACGUUUAAUAUUCUAUGUACCAUUUCGGCUACCACGGUAUACAGUUUUGAGUAACCACGGUUUUCCAUGGCUAUGCAUCAGCCUGCCACCUGCCAUUUUUCCCAUAAGCUUUUUGUCUUACCAACCAAUUUUGCCAACCAUGGGAACUUUCAGGAACCUAGCCCCAGCAGUUGUCAAGGGAAACCUGUGCUCAUCUCUUAUCCAGUUCCUCUGACAGUGACAGUGCUGUGCUAGUCUUAUGCUUCACAGCAGAGGUUUGUCUUUUUUUUUUUAAAUAAGCUUUUUGGCUCUGGCCAAAGCAGACAGAAAUGAGGAUCAUAAGAAGAACUUCACCUACAUGUGUUAGCAGGCUAAGCACAUUUCUGCAGAGAAGUCCAAGAAGGAGAAACAGAGCUCCACAAUAUUUAGCUAGUCAUUAGAAAUUUAUUAAUUCUUAGGUAGCAUAUGAUUUUCUCUCUCUCUUGAGGAAUGUGCCCAUCAUUUUACUAAUUUUUUUUCUAGAUUGAGCUGAAUUUCACCAAGAUUUGAGGGUGAAAUUCAACACCCCAAGUCAGUCAUUGGCAUACAUGUGAGGACAAACCUUGGCACAACCUACAUCUUCAACUGAGGUCUUAAUUGUACUGCCUUUCAACUUGGGUGAAUUUAGCACUAGGCAUCUAAUGUAAUUGAGUUGUUUUAUUCCACUUAAUCCUUCUGUGCCCUGUCUCCCCACUUGAAAAGUAACAAAAAGUCUCCUUUUUAAAGCCCUGUGAGAGAUGGUAUACAAUGUUAAAAUCAUUUUUUUUUAAUCAUACAAAUGUGCUAUUUACACCAAUUUGCUGCAAAUUACUAUAUAUCACUCUUCAUUUCUAGAAGAGUCUCUCAUUGUAGCCCGCACCCCACAUGAGUUCUAUAUGUAUGGUCCUAUACUUUUACUCUGGAAAUAGCUGAUAUGUUGCAAGCAAACAUGCAUGUCAUCCUAAAAUGACUCAGCACAUGAUUUUGGGGUUGAGUAGACAACGGGUGCUGCCGACUGCUCUUUAUCUCUAUUUAGCAUUCAUUGGAAACAUAGAACAGAGGGUUAAGCAAUAUGUAGAUACCUGUAGGAUAAAACAGACAACAGCAAACUUCACUUUCAAGCUCAAUUUUGUUUACAGUGUUGCUAUAUUUUAAAAUUUAGGAGAAAAGGGAUUCACAGAAGUGUCCAGUUUUCCAGUCAAAGAAGAAUAACACAAGUUAAUUUUAAAAUGUAAAGGGCAUCUUCGUUCUUCUCUUCCAGAACUCUACAGGACAUUAGAACAAUAUCAUUUUCAAGGUCAAAUAUAGCCAAUCUAAAAAAGUUUUUCCAUAUGUUCCUAAGCAGACCUCAAACUAUCUACUUCUCCUUCUGGACUGUUCAUAGGGCCAAGAUAUUUAAAUACCUGUGUGUACAGAUAGUGCCACAUUCUUAUGACCUGCUUCUUAUGUUGUUCCCUAUGGUGGAGUUCCAUCUGCUGAAACCUGGAGAUAUAUGCUAAUACAUCCUUUUCCUAGCCCGGGUAGCAUGUUAUUGGCAACUGUACCUUCUAUAUCCUUUCAAAUGUUUCCUGAUAAACAUCCCCUUAUCACCUAUCAUUGUAUAUAAAUGGCCCUUCAGUUUUUGUAGAAGAAUUGCUAUUCAGGCAAACUAAGCAACACCCAGUUGCUUGCAGGUAAAACAUGCAUAGUCCUUAUAAAUAUACUGUACUAAUACUUAAUUAUGAUUUUCUUCCUGCUUCUGUGCCUUAUAGAGAGAACCUUACUUGUUUCAAGCUUGAAUCACUGACCAUCUGGUAUGUUGAACUGGAAUUUCUCUUUCCUUUCAUUGGAAACCAACAUUAAGAGGAACACAAAUACUGUACUAUUUAUAAUGUGACCCUUAAGGGGGAAAGUCUCCUUCCUCUCAUAUUGGUAAUCUAAUCUGGAUUUACUUUUGUUGGCAUUGGAUGGAUGUUUCUAUUCAUAGGGAAAAACAGGAAGGUUGGGGCAAUAGGAUAAAAAUACACCGUACUUGAUAUGUAAACUUUUUAUACAGAGCCAAUUUCCAGUGAAGCCUGUAUUUUCAUUUAUAAAGCCUUUUAUGUACUACCUGCACAGAACACACAUUAUUUGAGAAUUACAGUGUAGAAGAACUGUAUGUACUUGCAUGGAUUCACUAUGUUCAAAUAAAUGCCUUCUCUGGGGUACCAAUA
Long non-coding RNA from Alligator mississippiensis (American alligator), 3059 nucleotides. RefSeq lists it as uncharacterized. NCBI's taxonomy places the organism in Eukaryota, Metazoa, Chordata, Crocodylia, Alligatoridae. The record is from RefSeq and is a predicted model, not a curated record. The transcript has 3 exons.